This 618-nucleotide ribosomal RNA is filed under the name Trametes polyzona. RNAcentral's name for it is "partial large subunit ribosomal RNA". It matches the Rfam family "Eukaryotic large subunit ribosomal RNA", at positions 64 to 671 of the family's 3401-position model. The record is from RNAcentral. Lineage: Eukaryota; Fungi; Basidiomycota; Agaricomycetes; Polyporales; Polyporaceae.
ACGUCCGGAUCCCUAGUACUGCGAGUGAAGCGGGAAAAGCUCAAAUUUAAAAUCUGGCGGUCUUUGGCCGUCCGAGUUGUAGUCUGGAGAAGUGCUUUCCGCGCUGGACCGUGUACAAGUCUCUUGGAACAGAGCGUCAUAGAGGGUGAGAAUCCCGUCUUUGACACGGACUACCAGUGCUUUGUGAUGCGCUCUCAAAGAGUCGAGUUGUUUGGGAAUGCAGCUCAAAAUGGGUGGUGAAUUCCAUCUAAAGCUAAAUAUUGGCGAGAGACCGAUAGCGAACAAGUACCGUGAGGGAAAGAUGAAAAGCACUUUGGAAAGAGAGUUAAACAGUACGUGAAAUUGCUGAAAGGGAAACGCUUGAAGUCAGUCGCGUCGUCCGGAACUCAGCCUUGCUUCGGCUUGGUGCACUUUCCGGAUGACGGGCCAGCAUCGAUUUUGACCGCCGGAAAAGGGUAGGAGAAAUGUGGCACCUUCGGGUGUGUUAUAGUCUCCUAUCGCAUACGGCGGUUGGGAUCGAGGAACGCAGCGCGCCUUAUGGCUGGGGUUCGCCCACAUUCGCGCUUAGGAUGCUGGCAUAAUGGCUUUAAACGACCCGUCUUGAAACCGGGACCAAAA